RNAcentral lists this transfer RNA (72 nucleotides) under bacterium. RNAcentral describes it as "tRNA-Met". It matches the Rfam family "tRNA". From Rfam's summary of the family: Transfer RNA (tRNA) molecules are approximately 80 nucleotides in length. Their secondary structure includes four short double-helical elements and three loops (D, anti-codon, and T loops). The record is from RNAcentral. RNAcentral also lists the same sequence under 2 other names.
CGCGGGGUAGAGCAGCGGCAGCUCGCAAGGCCCAUAACCUUGAGGACGCUGGUUCGAAUCCAGCCCCCGCAA